Molecule: transfer RNA, 66 nt
Filed under: Aphis intybi
Lineage: Eukaryota; Metazoa; Arthropoda; Insecta; Hemiptera; Aphididae
Description: transfer RNA-Leu
Source: RNAcentral
UAUGGCAGAAUUGACAUGCAAUGAACUUAAAAUUCAUUUAUAAAGAAUAAUCUUUUUUUAGAAAUC